CCUUAGAGACCAACUAAGUUUGUUCUUGGUAUAAGCUUUCGUGUGCAUGCACACUUCUUCAGAUACAUGGAAGCUUAUACCAAGAACAAACUUAGUUGGUCUCUAAGG
Podarcis lilfordi (Lilford's wall lizard) is the source of this 108-nucleotide non-coding RNA. The record is from the annotation of a GenBank genome assembly. NCBI's taxonomy places the organism in Eukaryota, Metazoa, Chordata, Lepidosauria, Squamata, Lacertidae.